Molecule: microRNA, 21 nt
Filed under: Callorhinchus milii (elephant shark)
Lineage: Eukaryota; Metazoa; Chordata; Chondrichthyes; Chimaeriformes; Callorhinchidae
Also listed under: 1 other name
Description: Cmi-Mir-23-P3b_5p* (star (passenger))
Source: RNAcentral
GGGUUCCUGGCAGAGUGAUUU